GAUGAACGCUGGCGGCGUGCCUAAUACAUGCAAGUCGAGCGGCAGCACGGUCUUCGGACUGGUGGCGAGCGGCGGACGGCUGAGUAACGCGUAGGAAUAUACCCCAAAGUGAGGGAUAACUGCCCGAAAAGGUGGCUAAUACCGCAUGUGGUCUUCGGACUAAAGCCUUCGGGCGCUUUGGGAAUAGCCUGCGUAAGAUUAGCUAGUUGGUGAGGUAAUGGCUCACCAAGGCGACGAUCUUUAGCUGGUCUGAGAGGAUGACCAGCCAGACUGGAACUGAGACACGGUCCAGACUCCUACGGAGGCAGCAGUAGGGAAUUUUCCACAAUGGGCGAAAGCCUGAUGGAGCAACGCCGCGUGCAGGAUGAAGGCCCUCGGGUCGUAAACUGCUUUAUGUGCGAAGAAUAUGACGGUAACACAUGAAUAAAGGGUCGGCGUAACUACGUGCCAGCAGCCGCGGUAAU
RNAcentral lists this ribosomal RNA (464 nucleotides) under uncultured bacterium. RNAcentral's name for it is "bacterial SSU rRNA". It matches the Rfam family "Bacterial small subunit ribosomal RNA", at positions 28 to 524 of the family's 1533-position model. The record is from RNAcentral.